RNAcentral lists this long non-coding RNA (280 nucleotides) under Trifolium pratense (red clover). RNAcentral's name for it is "long non-coding RNA (TPRA_LNC000463)". Lineage: Eukaryota; Viridiplantae; Streptophyta; Magnoliopsida; Fabales; Fabaceae. The record is from RNAcentral.
UCCAAUGCUCAAAAUCUCAAAUGUUAUUUCUAUUGGGGAAGUGCUUGAUGACGCAUUGCUUGAAGUAAUAAAAUUACAUCAUCUUUCAUCAUUUUAGUUAUCAAAUUGAUGAAGUCGCAUCAACAAAAUAGUUUAAUUUUCUUCUUGUCUUAAUCCUAAUCCUAAUCAGUGGCAGCUGAGGGUUGCCACGGUUCUUCUCCAUCCUAAUUUUUUUCUUUAUAGAUAGAGUAUAAUUCAAAUAUAUUAUUAGUAAUUUUAAGUAAUUCAAUAUACAUAUUUA